This 502-nucleotide ribosomal RNA is filed under the name Macrocheraia grandis. RNAcentral describes it as "partial large subunit ribosomal RNA". It matches the Rfam family "Bacterial large subunit ribosomal RNA", at positions 1828 to 2584 of the family's 2925-position model. Lineage: Eukaryota; Metazoa; Arthropoda; Insecta; Hemiptera; Largidae. RNAcentral also lists the same sequence under 1 other name. The record is from RNAcentral.
AUGUCUUGAUGUUAAAUUUAUAUUAAGUCUAACCUGCUCAAUGAUUUAAUAUUAAAUAGCCGCAGUAUUUUGACUGUGCGAAGGUAGCAUAAUCAUUUGUCUUUUAAUUGGAGGCUUGUAUGAAGGGUUGAAUGAGGGAUUUCCUUUCUUUAUAUUAAUUAAAUUGAAUUUAAUUUUUAAGUUAAAAAGCUUAAAUUUAUUAGUGGGACGAGAAGACCCUAUAGAAUUUUAUUUUCAUUUUUAUUAAGGGUUUUUGGUUAUUUAUUGAUUUAAUAACGGUGAAAAUUUUGUUGGGGUGACAGUGAGAUUGAAUUAACUCUCAUAAGUUUUAAUUGUUUAUUUGCAUUUUAAGGAUCCUUAAUUUAGGAUAAUUAGAUUAAAUUACCUUAGGGAUAACAGCGUAAUUUUUCUGGAGAGUUCAUAUCGAUAGAAAAGUUUGCGACCUCGAUGUUGGAUUAAAAUUAGAUUUAAGUGCAGAAGCUUAAUUUCUAGGUCUGUUCGA